Molecule: microRNA, 22 nt
Filed under: Ovis aries (sheep)
Lineage: Eukaryota; Metazoa; Chordata; Mammalia; Artiodactyla; Bovidae
Description: miRNA 39-i
Source: RNAcentral
CCGGCCCUCUUCUCUCGCCAGG